This 759-nucleotide ribosomal RNA is filed under the name Parahaemophilus parainfluenzae. RNAcentral's name for it is "Haemophilus parainfluenzae bacterial SSU rRNA". It matches the Rfam family "Bacterial small subunit ribosomal RNA", at positions 28 to 776 of the family's 1533-position model. Lineage: Bacteria; Pseudomonadati; Pseudomonadota; Gammaproteobacteria; Pasteurellales; Pasteurellaceae. The record is from RNAcentral.
AUUGAACGCUGGCGGCAGGCUUAACACAUGCAAGUCGAACGGUAACAUAAAGAAGCUUGCUUCUUUGAUGACGAGUGGCGGACGGGUGAGUAAUGCUUGGGAAUCUAGCUUAUGGAGGGGGAUAACUACGGGAAACUGUAGCUAAUACCGCGUAAUAUCGAAAGAUUAAAGUGUGGGACCUUCGGGCCACAUGCCAUAGGAUGAGCCCAAGUGGGAUUAGGUAGUUGGUGAGGUAAAGGCUCACCAAGCCGACGAUCUCUAGCUGGUCUGAGAGGAUGACCAGCCACACUGGGACUGAGGCACGGCCCAGACUCCUACGGGAGGCAGCAGUGGGGAAUAUUGCGCAAUGGGGGCAACCCUGACGCAGCCAUGCCGCGUGAAUGAAGAAGGCCUUCGGGUUGUAAAGUUCUUUCGGUAGUGAGGAAGGCAUUUAGUUUAAUAGACUAGGUGAUUGACGUUAACUACAGAAGAAGCACCGGCUAACUCCGUGCCAGCAGCCGCGGUAAUACGGAGGGUGCGAGCGUUAAUCGGAAUAACUGGGCGUAAAGGGCACGCAGGCGGUGACUUAAGUGAGGUGUGAAAGCCCCGGGCUUAACCUGGGAAUUGCAUUUCAUACUGGGUCGCUAGAGUACUUUAGGGAGGGGUAGAAUUCCACGUGUAGCGGUGAAAUGCGUAGAGAUGUGGAGGAAUACCGAAGGCGAAGGCAGCCCCUUGGGAAUGUACUGACGCUCAUGUGCGAAAGCGUGGGGAGCAAACAGG